RNAcentral lists this ribosomal RNA (147 nucleotides) under Botryosphaeria dothidea. Its description in RNAcentral is "5.8S ribosomal RNA". It matches the Rfam family "5.8S ribosomal RNA". Rfam says of the family: 5.8S ribosomal RNA (5.8S rRNA) is a component of the large subunit of the eukaryotic ribosome. It is transcribed by RNA polymerase I as part of the 45S precursor that also contains 18S and 28S rRNA. Functionally, it is thought that 5.8S rRNA may be involved in ribosome translocation. The record is from RNAcentral. Lineage: Eukaryota; Fungi; Ascomycota; Dothideomycetes; Botryosphaeriales; Botryosphaeriaceae.
CAACGGAUCUCUUGGUUCUGGCAUCGAUGAAGAACGCAGCGAAAUGCGAUAAGUAAUGUGAAUUGCAGAAUUCAGUGAAUCAUCGAAUCUUUGAACGCACAUUGCGCCCUUUGGUAUUCCGAAGGGCAUGCCUGUUCGAGCGUCAUU